AAGGAUCAUUAUUGAAUGAACUUGGCGUGGUUGUCGCUGGCCCUCUCGAGGGUAUGUGCACGCCCGUCAUCUUUAUCUUUCCACCUGUGCACACUUUGUAGACUUGAAUAGUAUUUUCUGAGGCAACUCAGUCGGGAGGAUUGCUGAUAUCAUCAGCUCUCCUUGCAUUAUUCAAGCCUAUGUUUUUCAUAUACCCCAAAAAUGUAACAGAAUGUAUCAUUGGGCCUUGUGCCUAUAAAAACUAUAUACAACUUUCAGCAACGGAUCUCUUGGCUCUC
RNAcentral lists this unclassified non-coding RNA (278 nucleotides) under uncultured fungus. Its description in RNAcentral is "partial contains 18S rRNA, ITS1, 5.8S rRNA, ITS2 and 28S rRNA". The record is from RNAcentral. Lineage: Eukaryota; Fungi.